GUGGGGAAUAUUGGUCAAUGGGGGCAACCCUGAUCCAGCCAUUCCGCGUGAGUGAAGAAGGCCUUCGGGUUGUAAAGCUCUUUCGUCAGGAACGAAACGGCGGGCUCUAACAUAGCCUGUUAAUGACGGUACCUGAAGAAGAAGCACCGGCUAACUACGUGCCAGCAGCCGCGGUAAUACGUAGGGUGCGAGCGUUAAUCGGAAUUACUGGGCGUAAAGCGUGCGCAGGCGGAUUGUUAAGCAAGACGUGAAAUCCCCGGGCUUAACCUGGGAAUGGCGUUUUGAACUGACAGUCUAGAGUGCGUCAGAGGGGGGUGGAAUUCCACGUGUAGCAGUGAAAUGCGUAGAGAUGUGGAGGAACACCGAUGGCGAAGGCAGCCCCCUGGGAUGACACUGACGCUCAUGUACGAAAGCGUGGGUAGCAAACAGGAUUAGAUACCCUAGUAGUCC
RNAcentral lists this ribosomal RNA (450 nucleotides) under uncultured bacterium. Its description in RNAcentral is "partial 16S ribosomal RNA". It matches the Rfam family "Bacterial small subunit ribosomal RNA", at positions 354 to 796 of the family's 1533-position model. The record is from RNAcentral.